Molecule: long non-coding RNA, 2143 nt
Filed under: Rattus norvegicus (Norway rat)
Lineage: Eukaryota; Metazoa; Chordata; Mammalia; Rodentia; Muridae
Description: long non-coding RNA NONRATT022142
Source: RNAcentral
CCUCUGGAAUCUUCCUUGUAUUUUGCCAUAAUGCAGAGUUUGAUGACAGUCCCUUAGUCAUCAUUGCUGUCUGCGUGAGGCAGUUGUAAGUAGAGAGGACUGGGUACAUUUGGGUUUGGCAGUCCCCCCUUUGUCUUGUUUUUGUAAUGCUGUUCCACAGAGGACAUUUUGUCUGUCUACAGACACAAGAGAUCUCCAUAUGGUUUAAGAAUACAUUUCUCUUAUGUUUUCUAUUUUUUCAUGAGCUGUUUUACUAAAUGUUCCCUAUUUUUUUCUUUAUUUGAAAGAAUAUAAGUGUGGGGGAGAAGGUUCUCUAUGGUCUCUACGGUAUAGUGGAGCACAGCGGCUCAAUGAGAGGAGGCCACUACACUGCUUACGUGAAGGUGCGAGUGCCCUCCAGGAAGCUGUCCGAGUGCAUCACCGGGAGGAAGACUGCACCAGGUUUGAAAGAAGCUGAUAGUGAAUUGGGAGGCCACUGGGUCCAUGUCAGCGACACUUAUGUGCAAGUGGUUCCAGAAUCAAGAGCACUGAGUGCGCAAGCUUAUCUCCUUUUUUAUGAAAGAAUAUUAUAAUUAUCUGUUAAUUGUUAUUUAGUUCAUUUUUAUUUUAAUGCUGAAGUCGUAACUGUAAUAUGUAAUGUGCCUUUGUAGUCUGUAGAAAUAGUGCGUCCUUCCAGUGUUACUUAACUUUGUCGAUAUGCAGUGAAUCCUUUAAAGAAAUUAAUUAAUGUGACAGGCAGUUGUGGUGCUCGCCUUUAUUCCAGCACUUGGAAGGCAGAGGCAGGCAGAUCUGUGAAAAACCUUGUCUUGAAAAAUAAAACAAAAAAGUAAUUAAUGCUUUCAAAUCUAUAUUCUUAAGUGUAGAAACAUGUUUUAUGUUAAUUUUCAUGUCCAUGGAGAUUGCCACUCACCACCAAAAAAAAAAAGAAAAGAAAGAAAAAGUUGAUGGUAGUGGAGAGAUCCCCUUCGCGACGUGACUCGUCACUACAGACAUUCAGAGACGAUGCUGGAUCGGGUCUCUAGUGGAUCCUUCUCGAGUGGACGCAGUGUAUCUUGUGCUUACUUUUGUUUUAGCCUUUUACAAUCUCGGCCCUGUUUUGAAUCACUCUUCACAUUUCUCUGUGCGUGUCAUUUUUCUAGUAAACAUUGGUGUAAGUUUAUAACUAUGAAAGAAAAAUUGCCCAUCCUUGCACCACCCCACUUAAAAUCAUCUCAGGGCUUUGCAGUGGUUGGUGUGUGUGUUAGUCGAUGGGAAAAGUUUCUAGAACAGUCUGAACUAGUGCCUAAUGUAACAUAAUAAUUUUUUCAUAUUUUAUGUGACUCAGUAGUAUGAAAAGGAACCAUUGUAAUUUUGGUACUGUGAGUUUACAAGUAAUAAAUUGAUUCGCUUAUCGCCUUGAAUAUUUGAAGAUAUUGAGACAUUUCAUAAACUAAUCAUUUGCAAUCCUUUAAAGACAGUUUGCAAGUGAUUGGUUAAGGCCAAAAUAAAAAUAUAGAGAAUUUUGACACAUAGAACUAGCAUAUAGAAGUUGGUGGUCUAUAUAGGAACAUAGGAUACUUUAAAGUUUAAGGAUGUCUUUGAACUAUAAACUACCAAACUAUAUUUAUGAGUGGUAGAAAUCAUAUUCUUAUAAUUAACAACAAAUAUAAUACUUUUUUUACUUCUGUACAUUAAUAAAUGUUAAAUAUGGUUUUGUCUUCAUAAGCAUUAUUUGAAAAGACAGGUGGCUAGUUGGGGAUGUAGUUCAAUGGCAGAGAACUUGCUUGGCCUGUGUAAGGUCCUGGUUCCAUCCCCAGACACACGAAUAAAACAUUCAGGUCAAUUUGGCUUUGACUUUAAUGGGGCACAGAGCUGCUACUUCUGUUCCCUUUAAAUACGUAGAAACACAGGAGAGUUUCUCCUUCCAAAAUUCAAAGAAUUGAACUGUGAAAACUUAGCAUGAAAAAUAUUACUACGAAGAUUUUAAAUAAUCAAUGAAAUGGUUCAGUGAUACAUAGUAUUAAAGCAAGAUGUAAGGGAACGGGUCCAGCGUCUUAGUCUUCAGUGCCUGUGUUUGAUUCAAUGGGCAAAUGUAGGGGAGAGAGGCUGUAAGCUGUACAGACCUUUAGCCAGCGUCGAGCCUUCUUGGCAUGUGUAACAUAAG